GACGAACGCUGGCGGCGUGCUUAACACAUGCAAGUCGAGCGGUAAGGCUCCUUCGGGAGUACACGAGCGGCUAACGGGUGAGUAACACGUCAGUAAUCUGCCCUCCACUUCGGGAUAACCACCGUAAACGGUGGCUAAUACCUAAUACGACCAGUCUUCGCAUGAGGUGCUGUUGGAAAGUCUUUUCGGUGACGGAUGUGCUCGCGGCCUAUCAGCUGGUUGGUGGGGUAAUGGCCUACCAAGGCUUCGACGGGUAGCCGGCCUGAGAGGGUGACCGGCCACAGAGGGACAGAGACACGGCGAAGACUCCUCCGGGAGGCAGCAGGGGGGAAGAUUGGAAAAUGGGCGAAAGCGUGAUCCAGCAACGACGCGUGAGGGAUGACGGCAUUCGGGUUGUAAACCUAUUGAAGUACCGACGAAGGGCCCUGUCGGGUGGUGACGGUAGGUACAGAAGAAGGAACGGCUAACUACGUG
Molecule: ribosomal RNA, 474 nt
Filed under: uncultured bacterium
Lineage: Bacteria
Description: partial 16S ribosomal RNA
Rfam family: Bacterial small subunit ribosomal RNA
Source: RNAcentral